Molecule: long non-coding RNA, 33902 nt
Filed under: Sorghum bicolor (sorghum)
Lineage: Eukaryota; Viridiplantae; Streptophyta; Magnoliopsida; Poales; Poaceae
Description: long non-coding RNA (SBIC_LNC003491)
Source: RNAcentral
AGCACAAUAGCAAACACGGCAAGGCCUACAAGAGGAGAGGAAAGAGAGGAGAAUGGUCAAGGCUGCCGCGCAUCGUCAUCACUAGGCAUCAGUCAGUCGAGGGGGGAGGACGAAGAGGUGCUGAGGAGAGAGAAGCUUCACAGAGCUUUGCUUGGUUGGGGUUGGAGCCCUGGGGGCGUGCCAGCCGAGCUGUCCGUCUCUCUCUCUCCAUUCCACCACCCACCAGCUACUACUACCUCGGGAGGGCAAGGGGAAAAUCUGCGGCCUCCUUUCCCGAGCCCGGUUGGAUGGAGAGGGACUUCCUGGCCGCGAUCGGCAAGGAGCACCCGCACCCGCACAAGGAGAAGGCAGCUGGCGCGGCGGAGGAUUCAGGUAUGCUCCCCGGCCUCCUUUCGCCGCCUGCCGCGCUCUGUUUCUUGAUCUGUGCCCGCACCCAGCCGUGGCCUAGUUUCUUCUUGCCGUGCUUGGUUGGGUUCGCUCAAUUCGUUUCGGCGAGAUGCGGCAUGGGUGCGCUGCGAAAUUCAAGCGCCCCCUUCUCUCUCUCUCUCUUUCUCCCCUGUUUUUCUUUUUUUUUCUUUGUUACUAGCUUUACUUUAUCCUGGCAACAAAAGAGUGCGGUGCGGUGCGGGCAUGGCUGUCUGGCAUUAAGUAUCAAAUUUAAUUAUCAAAUAAAUAAAGAAAAGGAUCCAAAUGAAAUCAAGAUCUAGACUUAGGGUUUUAUCUGACAGAAUUCCACGAGUUUUGGUGUUUGUCUAUUUCUGCAGGGGGUUAUCAGGAAAUAUGGAAGAAAGGCCCACAUGUCAGGAUUACGUAAAGAUAUUAACGUGCUGCGCAAUUAUCUUACAUCUAGAAGACUCCAGAAGCCACGAGACCGAAGCGGAGGCGAAACGGGGCCAGAGGCAGGGCGCCCGCCCUGUCCUACUAGGCGCCCGCCCCCUGUCCAAGUCCAAUCAGGACUCUGCUUUGCGGGAAGUCUCCACCGACCUAAAGGAUGAAUCUAAACCAUACAAUCUAUGUCGGUUUGAUCCAAGGGCCCAUAUUCACUUGAAGGGACUAUAAAACCAGACCCCCUGGCCCCUAGAGGAGAGAGCCUCUCAACCCUAAUUCAUUGUUCCAUCAAGGGAGAAGAAGCCUCUGAUCAAGAUUAGAGCCACCACAUCAAUUAGAUAUCUAGAUUAGCAUAGCUACAUAGGAUUAGAACUAGAAGGAGUCAAUCUUCGAUUGGUUUCCGGAUCUGUCAGGAGGAUUCUUGGUAAUUCUCUAAUUGUGUUUCUAAUUACUUUCUAAUUAUCUUUGUUCUUCAAUAUUAUGAAUAUGACUUUGUUCUACUUCAAUAUAUUGCUUAUGACUUUGCUCUACUUGCUUAUAUUCAAGAUUAUAUUGUUCUUAGUUUAUCAUAGUUAUGUACUUGGCUUAGUUAGAUACGAUCUAUAUACAUGCUUAGGAUCGUAUAGUGUUUAUCCAUCGGAUCCAUGGGUAAAUGAUAGAUAUUGUGUAGGCGUGGUGCUUAUACCGUAUUUAUCUGCGAUUGUACCCAAUAUGCCAGAUCGUGGGGUGGUUCGUGAUAGUGACAGCUUCAUUGAUUCUUAUAUAGUCCCCCUCUCGUGUAUUGGGCUGGCAGAGCAACAUUAUUACAGGGGAGUGAUUGCUAUGUUUCUCAUAUUCCUUGCUAAUAUCACUAUGCAUGGGCGUAGUCUUGUCUCACAAUGAUUGCUAAGUAUGCUUGCACUAACUAUGAUAAUGCUAGACUAUAUAGUUGAGAAUAACUUAGGGAAUAUUCUUGUAGUUCGUUCUAAUACCAUGCUAAUGACUUUCUAGAGUAUCUAAUUGAGGUGCUUAUCAUAUUUAUUAUGUGGCUAGAUCAGAUUAGUUAUCCUUGUCACUAUUAUUAUUUCAUAUACCUUUUAUGUGACACUUAUCCCUGUAUGAUGAGUUAGAUAUAAUGUUCUCAAUUAUACAUGCAAUGAUAGAUGCUCAAUCUCAUAUUCUAUUCUGUAAUCAAUAUUGAUGAUUGCUAAUCCCUUUCCAGUGGUAAAAAUAUAAAUAACGAUACCUGGAAUACUUCCCGGUUAAAAUGCUGCAUCGGUAUUAAUCUGUGCGCUUGCAGAUCCCAUUCAUUAUUAGAAGAGCAAUUGCAUAUUUCAAUACCGCGUCUCUUAUAUCAUGCUGGGGAUGACAACUUGGCUUAAGUGGUGUAAGGGAUAGGUUUGGCAUUUUUGGCACCGUUACUAGAUUUAGAGAACUUAGUCUACUUUUAGUAAUGAUGUUAAGAAUACCCAACAAGCAUUUUUGGCGCCGUUGCCGGGGAAGGUUGAUUACUAAUCAGGAAUGGAAUAAAAGAUUUUGAGUUAAAAUUAGCAUCACUAAUAUGAUUGAGCUUAUCUAUUCUCUCAUACAGUUUUACCCCGAUAUUUUUCUAUUUUAUCUUAUGCAGGGGAAUGUAUGAAUAGAAGACAUCUUCCAGGAAAUUUUGUUGACAAUCUCGAAGCAUUAUUCAAGAAGACGAGAGCCAAGCUAAAGAAAUCAUCAACACUUCACGAAGAAGCUUCAUCCAAUCAAGAAGAUCACCGGAACUUGUCUUCAGAGUUCGAAGCCAUGGCGAACAAAUCAAUCCGCGAGUUCUCAGCUCCCACUACGGACAACAUCCGCACUGGACCUGCUGCAGAGAUCGAUGGCAACUUGGAGCUCAAGCCUAGACUUAUCAACAUGGUGCAAUCCAACCAGUUCUGUGGGAAGGCACACGAAGAUGCUAGUGCUCAUUUACAACACUUCCUGGAGAUUUGCAACACAUUCACCAUAGCAGGAGUUUCCAAAGACGCUAUACUACUUCGCCUCUUCCCAUUCUCACUGUUAGGAAGAGCGAAGCAGUGGUUCUACGCUACAAAGGAGAAGAAUACUACGUGGGCACUCUGCUCAACAAACUUCCUGGCUAAGUUCUUUCCCAUGGGCAAGACCAAUGCUCUCCGUGGGAAGAUUACAAGUUUUCAGCAACAAAAUGAUGAAUCUGUUCCAGAAGCAUGGGAGCGCUUUCAAGACUACAUCCUAGAAUGUCCCCAUCAUGGAAUGGAGAGUUGGCUAUUGAUGCAGACGUUCUAUCAUGGGCUCAGCAACAGUGCCCGAGAGACCAUGGAUGCUGCAGCUGGAGGAGCAUUCUUAUCACUUACUAUACCACAAGCCACAGCUCUUGUGGAGAAGAUGGCGUCCAACCAAAGCUGGAAUGAAGAGAGGACCCAGACACGCAAGAGAGGUGGAGGUAUACAUCAGCUGAAGGAGGUAGACAUGCUGUCUGCAAAGCUAGACCUGCUCAUGAAGAAGCUCGAUGAUAGAGCUGGAGACAAGAAAGAAGUUAUGCACAUCUACGACUCUCACAUGACUUGUGAGGAGUGUGGAGACACUGGACACUCAGGCAACCACUGCCCUGAGAUACUUGAGGAUGUGAACUACAUCAACAACAACAACAACAACUACUACAACCGUCCUCAACAAAAUCAAGGUUGGAAUCAACAGAGGCCUAACUACUCAGGUAAUUAUCAAGGUAACAAUUCUUACAACAACAACAAUAAUUUUCCACCUUUGAGAGAGUUAGUAUCUAAUCAAGGAAAGCUAAUGGAUAACCUAUCUAAGAAAUUGGCAUCUAAUGAUAAAAUGCUAGAAAAUAUAAAUAAUAGAAUGGAUAAAUUCUCUACUGCCAUCAAGAAUCAAAUUAGCUUUAAUAAAAUGAUUGAAUCUCAGUUAAAUCAAAUAGCUGCUGUUGUUCCUACUACUAACCCCGGUAUACCAUCACAACCGGAAGGAUUAGAAUCUGCAAAUCUUGUAGACAUGUUUGAUGCAGGUAAUUGGAGUAACCCCGUCACUGAAUUUUCUACUGACCUUCUGCCGGUCAAGAGAGGCGAUCCAGGACGUCCCGUCAUCCCGAUCUCCAUCGGCAUGGUGGACUUCCCAGAAGCACUCUGUGACUUUGGCUCUAGUGUCAACAUUAUACCCAUGGUACUCUAUGAAAAAUUCUUUACAUAUCCUUUAUUAGAGACAACCAUGUGUUUUUGCAGUUUGCAGAUCAGACGAUAACUUUUCCAAAAGGAAUAGUGAAGAACCUUUGUGUUCGAGUUGGUACCUUAUAUGCCCCAGCAGACUUCGUAGUGGUAGAGACCGGAAAUGACGAGAGAGCACCUAUCAUCCUAGGGAGGCCAUUCUUGAACACAACGGGAGCUAUCAUCUACGCCAGUGCUGCCAAGAUCAGUUUCUACGUCAAAGGGAAGAAGGAGACAUUUUUCUUCAAGAACAAGACUACACAAAUUCCAGAUCAAUCCAGACGUGAAUCAAGGAAGAGGACCAACAGGAGGAACAGGAACAAGCAAGUGUGGACCGAGUCAGCUAAGAUGGUCACUGUAGUCCAUGGAGGCCAAGAUCAGCAACUGAAGUCACCGUUUUUGACCAAGAAGGACGACCCAGGAAUGCCAAGCAUUUACUGCUCCAUAAAUAGAUAUAACUUCUACAAGACGAUUUGCGACACCGGAUCAGGCGUCAACAUAAUGGCCGCAGUCACCUAUCGGCUCUUGUUCGGAACCAUGCCACUAAAACCAACAUACAUUCAGCUCCAGAUGGCAGAUCAGACAUUUCGAGAAGUUCAAGGAAUAGUAUCUGAUGUCCCAGUCAAAAUAGACGAUCACUUUGUCUACACAGACUUUCAAGUUGUUGACAUGGGAGAAGACGAGUAUGAUCCACCCAUCAUCCUUGGAAGGUCGUUCCUCAGCACCGUUAAAGCAAUUAUCUACAUUGGAACCGGAGAAGUCCAUAUGCACUUCCCCUCAGAGAAGGUACGCCGUUAUUUUACUGACCCUAACUAUAUCGUUGAAGAAUCUAAGCAGGUCAGAAAGAGACGCAACCGCAACCAGAGGAGGCAGAUCAUCAAGGACGGAUGGGCAGACUAUGAAGGAGAAGUUGUAAGGUCAGAAAACGUAGAGUUUAAACAGAAUUAUCCAGAGGAGAUUGAAGCACCGAGUCAGGUAUGGAAAAUGAAGAUAACUAUACAUGAAGAGGAGGCGCUGCCGGAAGUACCGACUACGCCACCCAACGAACCUCAGGACGAUUAAGAAAUUGGAGAGUCCCGUUCGGAGGACUUAAAAACACCGAACGCCUUGCCAAGAGGUAAACUUGGUAGUUACCCUUUCCCUUUCAGUUAUUUCAAAUAGUUUACUUAGUUAAACAUGCUCAUGCUGUCUUAAAAGAAAAUAAAAAUAUGAAAAACAGUAAGCCCCAUGUGAGUAUACGAGUGGCAUAAAACCCAUAAGUACUUUCACUGUGGAGGCAUAAAAAUAAAAAAAUAUUUUUCUGCUUUAUAAAAUAAAAAAAUAUAAAAACAGGGAGUAAUAUUUACUAAGGAGUCUCAACGUGAUAAAGGCUAGAUAUUUAUGCUAACACUUAAUCAGUUCCACAAGCUUUGUUGUCUAUUUGAGCUCCACAGAAUUUAAGAAUCAAGAAGACUAGCAGAAGGAGGACAUUCUAAUCGCUGUCAGAAUGCUGCUGACUUUCAAAUACACCUCUGCCGCCUGCUAGCUACAUCAAGAGAAAUUACGUCAAAAUUCAGCUUGGGGGAGAGCACCCCCAUUUAUCACGAUAAGUAUUUCUAUCUAUCUUUAUAUUUAUAUUAUUUUAGAAUAUUAAAAUACACAUAAACUAUGGAAAAACCAAAUAAAGAUUUUAUGCUUAUAUAUGUCUUUUGCUUAGUGUGUUUAAUAAAUAAAUAAAGUGGCUAUGCUAAUCUGUAUCUAAAUAAAACUUAAGCAUGGAUAUGAUGGAAAGUUGCUCUGCCUAAUUUGCAAAUUUUAAAGUUCUCUCUCUCAAGUUUAGAUAUAACUGUUAUAAUUUAAAGCUUGCUCUAGAUCUAAACUUGUGGGAUAAAAACUUGAUCUGAAGUCUAAGUUGUUAACGGAUACGAUAUGGGAAGGCUGAGCUGUUGUUUAUCUGUUCCUAGAGAUGCUAGAAUUCUGGAGAAUUUUAGCUUUGAAAAUCUUUAAAAUGUUGCAUGAUGAGUUCCUGUAUGAUGAGAGAUUAAAUUCCUACCACAGCCAUAUAUACAUGCUUGCUAGACUUUGAGCCACACAUUUACUAUUUACUGCUUAUGAGCAUUGAGUGUGGUCAAGCUGUGUAGACCCUUAGGAGCUUGUCAUGUGGUUAAAUCAAGAUUUCACUUACACGUUCACUCAUAUAUGCUACUUCUACUCCGGAAGUACCAUCCACAUAUAUCCACCCAUUCCAUCUCCAGAAUCACCCAAAAAUAUUCUGCUCCUAAUCCGGGAGAGAAUAACCAAAAAUAUUUCUGUUUUUCCCUUGUGAAAUAAAUGCUCAAGUUAUCUUGUUACUACCACUUGCUAUAUUAUCUCAAGAGAUGAAUGCUCUAAAAAAAAGAAAAAAAAUAUAUAAUAAUACGAGGAAAUAAAAAGGAGCAAGUGCUCGGAACCUCGAAAGAAAAGAAAAAGUGAGACGAGAGGUAAAAAUGGACAAGUGUCCGACAGUAGAAUUAGGGGUACAAGAUACCCACCUGAGAGAAAAGAAAAAGAAGAGCAUCUCAUUCUCCUCAUAAAGUUUCAAAAGCAAGGAAGGUAUGUAUCCCCUCAAAAGAGCAAAGUAGAAUUAGACUUCCACCACCAUUGUUUUCACCAUUGUUAUCACCAUCAUCACCAUAUACCAUUCAUUCGCCACACAUGCACAUCUUGAUUAAACUUAUUGACUUGUUACUUUGGAUCCAUGGUUUGACUAUACAAUACAUGUCUUGUAAGUAUGUAUACUUUAUCUCCCACCUAUGAGCUCCAGAUAUUAAAGCCUUAUUAGAGUAGGGUGAGAGAGAAGGCAAUGUCACUAUGCUUUAUACCACAAAUACCACAUAUCUUGAGAGAAGGCAUAUACCAUCAAUGCCUUGGUAAGGAUCAAAAAAAUACCACAAAAGAGAGACCUGAGAGAAUCAUACAAGGAAACUCUGAGUUUUAUUUGAAAAUCUGCAAAAAUCCCAGAGCUAUAGUUGAUCAAGAAUAAGAGACAUGGCACUUGGCUAGACUGUUCUAUCUUUUAACCACUCAAGACAGAAGUGACAGUUACAAGUCCCAUGGUGAAGGUAAAGUAAGUAAGUUUUAAGUCUUAACAGUCUACUCUAACUCAGAGAUGAGAUCUUAUUUAAAAGCAUGUGUACCGCCAAUUUUUAAAAAAAUAUUGCAGCAACUUCUGAUCCAUAGCUGAGUCUAUCCUUGCUCAGGGACGAGCAAGAGGUAAGCUUGGGGGAGUUUGUUGACGGUCCUUAAGUAUCAAAUUUAAUUAUCAAAUAAAUAAAGAAAAGGAUCCAAAUGAAAUCAAGAUCUAGACUUAGGGUUUUAUCUGACAGAAUUCCACGAGUUUUGGUGUUUGUCUAUUUCUGCAGGGGGUUAUCAGGAAAUAUGGAAGAAAGGCCCACAUGUCAGGAUUACGUAAAGAUAUUAACGUGCUGCGCAAUUAUCUUACAUCUAGAAGACUCCAGAAGCCACGAGACCGAAGCGGAGGCGAAACGGGGCCAGAGGCAGGGCGCCCGCCCUGUCCUACUGGGCGCCCGCCCCCUGUCCAAGUCCAAUCAGGACUCUGCUUUGCGGGAAGUCUCCACCGACCUAAAGGAUGAAUCUAAACCAUACAAUCUAUGUCGGUUUGAUCCAAGGGCCCAUAUUCACUUGAAGGGACUAUAAAACCAGAUCCCCUGGCCCCUGGAGGAGAGAGCCUCUCAACCCUAAUUCAUUGUUCCAUAAAGGGAGAAGAAGCCUCUGAUCAAGAUUAGAGCCACCACAUCAAUUAGAUAUCUAGAUUAGCAUAGCUACAUAGGAUUAGAACUAGAAGGAGUCAAUCUUCGAUUGGUUUCCGGAUCUGUCAGGAGGAUUCUUGGUAAUUCUCUAAUUGUGUUUCUAAUUACUUUCUAAUUAUCUUUGUUCUUCAAUAUUAUGAAUAUGACUUUGUUCUACUUCAAUAUAUUGCUUAUGACUUUGCUCUACUUGCUUAUAUUCAAGAUUAUAUUGUUCUUAGUUUAUCAUAGUUAUGUACUUGGCUUAGUUAGAUACGAUCUAUAUACAUGCUUAGGAUCGUAUAGCGUUUAUCCAUCGGAUCCAUGGGUAAAUGAUAGAUAUUGUGUAGGCGUGGUGCUUAUACCGUAUUUAUCUGCGAUUGUACCCAAUAUGCCAGAUCGUGGGGUGGUUCGUGAUAGUGACAGCUUCAUUGAUUCUUAUAUAGUCCCCCUCUCGUGUAUUGGGCUGGCAGAGCAACAUUAUUACAGGGGAGUGAUUGCUAUGUUUCUCAUAUUCCUUGCUAAUAUCACUAUGCAUGGGCGUAGUCUUGUCUCACAAUGAUUGCUAAGUAUGCUUGCACUAACUAUGAUAAUGCUAGAGUAUAUAGUUGAGAAUAACUUAGGGAAUAUUCUUGUAGUUCGUUCUAAUACCAUGCUAAUGACUUUCUAGAGUAUCUAAUUGAGGUGCUUAUCAUAUUUAUUAUGUGGCUAGAUCAGAUUAGUUAUCCUUGUCACUAUUAUUAUUUCAUAUAUCUUUUAUGUGACACUUAUCCCUGUAUGAUGAGUUAGAUAUAAUGUUCUCAAUUAUACAUGCAAUGAUAGAUGCUCAAUCUCAUAUUCUAUUCUGUAAUCAAUAUUGAUGAUUGCUAAUCCCUUCCCAGUGGUAAAAAUAUAAAUAACGAUACCUGGAAUACUUCCCGGUUAAAAUGCUGCAUCGGUAUUAAUCUGUGCGCUUGCAGAUCCCAUUCAUUAUUUAUUUAGAAGAGCAAUUGCAUAUUUCAAUACCGCGUCUCUUAUAUCAUGCUGGGGAUGACAACUUGGCUUAAGUGGUGUAAGGGAUAGGUUUGGCAUUUUUGGCACCGUUACUAGAUUUAGAGAACUUAGUCUACUUUUAGUAAUGAUGUUAAGAAUACCCAACAGCGGCCGAGGGGUACAAGGGCGAGGUUGCUCGGCUUGAGGCUCUGCUCGCCGAAAAAGACCUUGCCCUGAACCAAGCUCAGGCUGACCUUUCUGCUGCCCAGAGCGAGGUGGCUCGCUGGCAUCGGAGCUCGGCGGAGAACGAGAAGCGAGCCGAGGGUAAGAGCUGCGUCUUUUACCUUGGCUCUCUUUUGACUUUCCUAACUUUUCUCUUCUUUUUUUGUUCUGCUUUUCAACAGAGUCGGGGUGGAAGAUGGCCGAGGCAACCUCUGCCGCUGAGGCCUUGCAGAGGUCCCUUGACGCCGAGGUCACGGACCGCUCGGCUCUGGAAGCCGUCGUUACCUCAACGUGCGAGGGGCUCGGGGUGUCGGCGUCGGGGUCGUCGCUGCAGAGUCGAGUCGAAGCUCUGGCGGGGAGAAGAUGAGGGAGGCACUCCACGCCGGGGUAAUGAAAGCCCUGGCGGUGGUGAACUCUCACUACGUCAGCAUUGAUCUGCCGGCGGUCUGUGAGGGCUACGUCCUCCCUGACGAUGAAGUGGAGGCCCAGGAGGAGCUGCAGAGACUUGAGGACGCCGUGAAUGCCCCGGGAGAUGCCUUGGCCGCCUUCUUUGGUGCCGAGGUGGAGCUUCCCCCUCUCGGCGCGCAGGGGCCUGCGUAGGCGGGGCAACAAGGCCCUUUAAGUUAGAUUUCUCUUUUUUGUAAACGUCAAGGCCAGUGGGUCUUGUAUUGUAUAUAUAUAACAUGAAUGUUUAUAUGAUUGUUCCUCUUAAGGUUUUCCUUUGUUAUCUUGUUGUGUGUUUUUCCCUAUGCUGACCCGACCUCGGCAGCGCGGGGUCGGGUGAGCUACUUAGGGUCUGUGCUAGCCAGAGUCCCCGAGCCUAUGUCCUUUUCCUUUUCCUUAGUAAUUUUCAGAGGUCCGGAUCCACCCCCCGAUCCUAGGGGUGAGUAGAGGUCGUCCUUGCCCGUGGGCGCGGAUCUUUCCUCAGGCUCAUGCCUUAAGGUUUUAGGGGAUGGAUCUGCGGUUUCUUAAAUCCCUUUAGGAAAUGAAAGAGGACACCAGGUUAGGGUUCUUUGACUUGUGCAAAAAAGGGAAAAAGAUUUGGAGUUGCCACAGGGGGUUCCCCCCGUGUAGCCCCCGAGGGAGGCUCGGACUCUGCAAGGCAAGGCAGGUCGGAGGCUCACUUAAAAGAAACAACCAUAUAACUUAAACUUUCAUUUAUUCUUUCAAGGUGAUGAACAAAUGGAGAUUUUUACAAAAUUCUAAGGGUAGAAGCGACGUAGCUGUUCUAUAUUCCACGCGUUCUUGAAGACCUCCCCUGCUUCGUUGACGAGCUUGUAGGUGCCAGGUCGGAGGACUUCGGCGAUGACAAAAGGUCCUUCCCAGGGGGGCAUGAACUCGUGAUGACCCUUGUUGCUCUGCCUGAGCCUCAGCACCAAGUCGCCAACUUGAAAGGCUCGGCCUCGGAUUCAUCGCGUGUGGUAUCGGUGGAGGGCCUGCUGGUACUUGGCAGAGUGUAGGUGGGCUACGUCUCUGGCUUCAUCCAGCUGGUCCAACGCGUCUUCUUGGUACGUCUUGCAGCUGUUUUCGUCGUAGGCUUGUACCCUUGGGGACCCGUACUCCAGAUCCGUUGGGAGGAUGACUUCCGACCCAUAGACCAUGAAGAACGGGAUGAAGCCUAUGGCUCGGCUUCGGGAAGUCCUUAGACUCCAGACCAUGGCCGGUAGCUCUUUGAGCCACCUUUUUCCGAACUUGUCCAACCAGUUGAAAAUCCUGGGCUUAAGACCCUGGAGGAUCAUGCCAUUGGCACGCUCCACCUGACCAUUGGUCUUUGGGUGAGCCACUGCUGCCCAGUCCACACGUAUGUGGUGUCUGUCGCAGAACUCCAGGAACUUCCGCCUGGUGAACUGUGUGCCGUUAUCGGUGAUUAUGGAGUUUGGCACUCCAAAUCGGUGGAUAAUAUCCGUGAAGAACAACACCGCUUGUUCGGCCUUGAUCCUUGUGAUGGGUCGGACCUCAAUCCACUUGGAGAACUUGUCAAUUGCGACAAGCAAGUGGGUGAAGCCCCCGGGCGCCUUUUGCAGAGGCCCGACGAGGUCGAGACCCCAGACAGCAAAGGGCCAGGUGAUGGGGAUCGUCUGCAAAGCCUGAGCGGGGAGAUGAAUCUGCCGAGCGUAAAACUGGCAUCCCUCGCAGGUUCGCACGAUUUCGGUGGCGUCAGCCACGACGGUGGUCUAGUAGAAGCCUUGUCGGAAGGCAUUUCCUACCAGCGUUCGAGGCGCGGCGUGAUGGCCACAAGCCACCGAGUGUAUGUCCUCCAGGAGCUUGAUUCCCUCUUGACGUGGCAUGCAGCGCAUAAGGAUACCCGAGGGGCUACGCUUGUACAUCUCUCCGUCGAGGAGGACGAAAGUCUUGGCACGGCGAGCCACACGCCGUGCCUCUGCCUGGUCUGGGGGCAAAGUGCCGUCGACGAGGCAUUGGAGCAAAGGGUAGCGCCAGUCCGGCAAGUCGUCAGGCGCAAGGGGCUUAGACUCGAUGUCCAUGGCCUCCUGUUCCUGAGCGGUGGAGGCCUCGGGGUCGGGGCCUGGGUCGCUUGGGGGUUUAUCCGAGCCCCCGUCGUCCUUGUAGUCGACAGAAGGCUUGUGGAGGUCGCUGACGAAAACAUCUGGAGGGACCAUGGCCCGUUCGGAUGCCAUCUUGGCGAGCGCGUCGGUGGCCUCAUUGUAUUUUCUUAACACGUGGUUAAGCUCGAGACCGUCGAACUUUUCCUCCAGGCGCCGGACUGCUUUGCAGUAUGCGUCCAUCUUGGGAUCGUGGCAGCUAGACUCUUUUAUGACUUGGUCGAUGAUGAGUCUAGAGUCGCCUCGGACGUCAAGCCGUUUGAUCCCGAGCUCAAUCGCGAUGUGGAGACCAUUGACGAGGGCCUCGUACUCUGCCGUGUUGUUUGAGGCGGGGAAGUGGAGUCGGAUCGCAUAUCGCAUCCUUACCCCGAGGGGCGAAAUGAAGAUGAGGCCAGCGCCGGCCCCGGUUUUCAUCGAAGACCCGUCGAAGUACUAGGUCCAGCACUCAUGCUGGAUUUAUGGUGGAGGGAGCUGGGUCCCUGUCCACUCAGCCACAAAAUCCGCUAGGACUUGGGAUUUUAUAGCUUUCUGAGGCUCAUAGGUGAUCCCGUCGCCCAUGAGCUCUAUAGCCCAUUUGGCAAUCCUACCAUUAGCCUCACGGUUCUGAAUCACUUCCCCCAGAGGGAAAGAUGAUACUACCGAGACCGGAUGAGACUCGAAGUAAUGGCGGAGUUUGCGUCGGGCCAAGACUACCGCGUAGAGUAGCUUUUGGAUUUGGGGGUAUCGGGUCUUUGUGUCAGACAGUACUUCACUGAUGAAGUACACUGGUCUUUGGACCGGCAGGGCGUGCCCUUCUUCCUUCCUUUCGACCACGAUAGCUGCGCUGGCCACCUGAUCAGUGGCUGCGACGUAGAGAAGCAAUGGUUCCCCCUCGGCAGGAGGUACCAGAAUGGGAGGAUUGGUGAGCAGAGCCUUGAGCUUGUCAAGGGCUUCCUGGGCCUCAGGGGUCCAGGAAAAAUGCUCGGACUUUCUAAGUAACCUAUAGAGAGGUAGCCCUUUCUCCCCGAGACGGGAGAUGAAACGACUUAGGGAGGCUAGGCACCCCAUGACUCUCUAUACUCCCUUUAGGUUACGAAUUGGGCUCAUGUUUGCGAUGGCCGAGACCUUUUCUGGGUUGGCCUCGAUCUCUCGCUCAGACACGAUAAACCCGAGGAGCAUGCCUCAGGGGACACCAAAAACGCAUUUUUUGGGGUUGAGUCUGAUCCCUUUUGCCCUGAGGCAUCGGAAUGUUUCAUCCAGGUCGGGAACUAGGCCUCUUGCCUUCCUGGAUUUGACAACAAUGUCGUCUACAUAGGCCUCUACCGUUUUGCCUAUCAGGUCCCCAAAGACUUGGAGCAUACAUCGCUGGUAUGUAGCCCCCACGUUCUUAAGACCGAAAGGCAUAGUUACGCAGCAAUACAUUCCGAAAGGAGUGAUGAAAGAAGUCACGAGCUGGUCGGACUCUUUCAUCUUGAUUUGGUGGUAGCCGGAAUAAGCAUCAAGAAAAGAUAAAAUUUCACAUCCCGCAGUGGAGUCAACUAUCUAAUCGAUACGAGGUAAUGGAAAGGGGUUCUUAGGACAUGCUUUAUUUAAACUAGUAUAGUCUACACACAUCCUCCACUUCCCAUUUUUCUUUUUGACUUGUACAGGGUUAGCUAACCACUCGGGAUGGAAUACCUCCUUGAUGAAUCCGGCUGCCAGCAACUUGUGGAUCUCCUCCCCGAUGGCCCGGCGCUUCUCCUUGUUCAAUCAGCGCAGGCGUUGCUUCACGGGUUUGGAGCCGGCUCGGAUGUCCAAGGAGUGCUCGGCGACUUCCCUCGGUAUGCCAGGCAGGUCCAAGGGACUCCACGCAAAUAUGUCGGCAUUUGCGCGGAGAAAGUCGACGAGCACCACUUCCUAUUUGGGGUAGAGGCUGGAGCUGAUCCUCAACUCCCUGCCCUCAGAGGUCCUGGGGUCGAGGAAGACGAGCUUGGUCUCCUCCGCCGGCUCGAAGCUCCCGGCGUGCCGCUUCGGGUCGGGGAGGUCCUGGUCACCGUCGCCGAGGCUGGUGAGGAUAGCCAGAGCACUCCUCAAGGGUGUGCUUGGUUGGUCCCCUAUGAUAGGGGCACGGCUUCUUCAACAUCUCGUCAAAGAGACCGGGGCCAGCAGGAGCCUGCUUGGGGUUCUUGCGAUCUGCCGCGGCGACCAGGUUGUCGUCCGACUGACCCUGCUUCCCCUUGCGACCCUUCUUCUUCUUGGGGUCGCGUGAGCCCGAGGCUUCGGUGGCCUCGGCCUUUUGUUUCCCCUUGGCAGUGCCGUCGGAGAAAAUGGCACCAACUGCCUCUUCGCCCGAGGCAAAGUUGGUGGCGAUGUCGAGCAGCUGGCUGGUGCUCGUGGGGGUCUUGCGACCGAGCUCGUGUACCAGUUCCUUGCAGGUGGUACCGGCGAUGAAGGCCCCGAUGACGUCGGAGUCGGUGAUGUUGGGGAGCUCGGUGCAUUGCUUGGUGAAUCGCCUGAUGAAGUCUCGGAGGGAUUCAUCAGGCUUCUGCUGGCAGCUCCUGAGGUUCCAGGAGUUCCCAGGGCGCACGUAAGUGCCCUGGAAGUUCCCGACGAAGAUCCUGACCAGGUCGGCCCAGUCGUGGAUCAUGCGCUCAGGGAGGUGCUCAAGCCACGCUCUGGCCAUAUCGGCCAGGUGGAGUGGCAGGUUGCGGAUGAUGAGCAAGUCAUCGUCCGCCCCACCUAGCUGACAUGCUAGGCGGUAGUCUGCUAGCCAGAGCUUAGGGUUGGUUUCUUCCGAGUACUUGGUGAGGUUAGCGGGCUGUCGGAAUCGCGCCAGGAACUUGGCCCUACGGAUGGCCUCGCUGAAGACACGGGGGCCCGGAGGCUCUGGCGACGUGCUGCGGUCGUGGUCGGGGUCGUACCUCCCGCCUCGGCGCGGUCGAUAGUGUCGAGAAUCGGCCUCGUCCCUGUCGCGCCGUCUGGCCUCGAGGGUGGCCCAGACGUCCGCGUCGACCCCGACACGCUCGUGGACAGAUGGGGCCCUGUUGCCUCCUUGUGGGUUAGGGGGCGGCGGACCCUGCACCGUUGGCGCCUUGUUAGGAGGGGGUCGGUCCCCUUGGCGUCUCGUGUCGUGGGACUGUGACACAGAACUUUCUGCGUUCUACACCACAGCUUGCUCCAGGAGGCCGCGCAGCCCCUGGCGCACCCUUCUCCCCUCAGGAGUCGAUGGCUCGGGCAUCGCUCUGAGGAGGAGUGCGGCAGCCAUCACGUUUUGGCUAGCCAUGCUGAAGACUGGGGGGUUGUCACCCCCUUCGUCCUCGAUGAUGCGGCGGUUAACGUCCCGGGCACGGCGUCUAGCCUCGCCCCCAUCCCCGCGACCGGACGGGUCUUGGACCAGGGUCUCGCGGAGUUGGCGGAGGCGUACGCGCUCUUCUUCGAGCCUAGCCUCCAGCUCAUUGAGCUGCUCGAGGUCAGGGCGCUGUCCUCCUGGCGAAGCUGAGGCGGCCCCGCGGGCUCCAGGAUGGAUCCCGGGAGUCGGGUUGGGAGGUGGAGUGGCGUUCCCCUGCCUAGAGGGUCCUGCACCCCCUUGAGCGUGGGGGGGCGCUCCUCCGACCUCAAGGUUGAAGCACUCUCGCGACGGGUCGUAUCCGCCGUCGUCAGAGUCGGAGUAGCCGAGGCAGUAGUUGCUGGCCUCCAGAAAACGCAUGAUCAUUUCCGGGUCGCCACACCCGGAAAAAUCAACGCCAACCCACUCAUUGUCGCCUGAGGUGGGAUGCUCAGGGUAUGACGAGGCGGGCGGUGUAGCGAUAAGGUCGAGGGUAGACCUCAGGUGGUGUCCUGGAAGGUCCGCGUACGCACUCAAUGAAGUGCUUACGGAAGAGGCGUAAGUGGCGGCCGUGUUCCUGAGCCUGAAAGGGAGCUCGGGAGGUGCCGCUGUCUCACCUCCACCCAUAGGUGGAGGGGGAUGAGACGUUGAGGCCCCUUUGUCCCCCUUCUGGGGAGCAGGCGGGAGUCGUGCCUUCCCCUUUAUCCGGGGCGGGACAGGAGGUCGUGAUGAUCCCUUGUUGGUCCGAGGAGCGGAGCUUGAUGCUCCACGGGCCCUUCCUCUAGCGCCUGUCGGGCCGGAGGAACGGGCGAUCUGGUGAGGAAUAUGCGGGGGGAGGGCCGGACGAACCCUUGCCUCAGUGGUGGGGUCAGAGAUGCUAGACCUCUGACGCCCCCGCCGGGCGCCCCCCGUAUGGUGCCCCGAGCGCCUCCCACGUACUGACUGUGGUGGGAUCGGCUCAGGGCGAGGCUCGGCGUCACCACGUGGUGGGAGGAGGACCAUGUCAUAGCCGGAGCCGAGCGACAUGAACUCCAAACUCCCAAACAUCAUGAUGGUGCCGAAGCGGAGUGGGUGGAAUCCGUCUGCCAUCCGGGCUUUCCUUAGUAGGGAAAGAUGAAUGCCACGCAAAAGGCCCCUACCUGGCGCGCCAACUGUCGGUGUCUAGACUCGCGGUCUAGACACAAACGAGUGUAAAUAUGCGUGACUAUCUAAGCCUGGAUGGUGAUGCAAGUGAAACACAGAGAAUUUAUACUGGUUCGGGCUAAGGAUGCCCUACGUCCAGUGAGAUCGGAGGUCUGUAUUGCCUUGCACCCAAAGGUGCUUGUAGUAGGGGCGUACAAGCAGGUUGCGAGAGAGGGCUUAGUCCCAAGUCUCAGCUUUGUGAUGUGGACAGAGCGCUGGUUGCUACUCUGUGGGUGAACUAGCUUGUGUGUAUGCUGUGUGGUUGAGCUUGUUGGUCGUGAACCUGUCUUGGUCGUGAGCCCUGGCUCCCCUUUUAUAGCCUCAAGGGGAGGCAAGUAUUUACAUGAGGGUUUGGAUAUUUCCUCUACUGAGUGGAGGAGUAACAGUCCCGACCCUGUAGAAGCUUGCCCAUCCCGUCCUUGAGGUAUGGCUGACAAUAUAGUUGCUCCUGUGGGGGGUUGCCGAGCCCUGUUGGAGUCGUGGGGGUCGGAUCGGCGAUACUGCAGUCUGUCAUGUUAACAGUGGGAAAAGAUAGCAAAUAGUGAUGCUGAUUAACCUCUCCCAUUCCCCUUUCACUGUAAGGCGGUACACCACAGUAAAAGAGGUAAGGCCGCACAGUGAAAGAGGUAAGGCUGCAGUGACCAGGGUGGUUGGAACAGUCGCCACCAUGCCCGGCUGCGAUAUGGGAGUCACUGCGCCUGUCACGUCGUGAGUACGGGCGCCAUGCGUUGGAAGCCUUGUUCUAACCGGGUGAAGCGGCGUUGGCGCCCGAGCCCUAUAGGGGUCGGGCGAGGCGGAACUUACGCCCGAGGCCUAGGGGGGUCGGGCGAGGCGGUGUCUGCGUCCGAGCCCUAGAGGGAUCGGGCGAGACGGAACUCGCGCUCGAGGCCAAGGGGUCGGGCGAGCCGCGAUUUGGGCCCGAGACCGAGGAGUCAGGUGAGCUGGGGCCCGCGCUCUGGUGGUCGUGAAUGGCUUAGUUCGUCUUUUGUGAUUUUUGUUGUUUUGAUUUGGGUAUCCCUUUUUAUGGUACCCAACAACAGUUGUGUUCUUCAUGACUGUUAAUUGUACGAACUUUGUUUUUUGAAUUAAAUGUUAUUUUAAUUUUGGUAUUUAAUUUCACAGUAUUGUUAUCUUACCAUGCGACGCGUAUGUUUUUAGUAUAAAAAAUUAGUUGUUCUGUAGCAAUGUACGGGCAUACUAUCUAGUAAUAUAAUAUGGUUCAAGCGUAUUUCUUGUAAAAAAAUAUACGCGUACCAACAGGCACAUGCCUUGCGGUGCGAGAUUGCAUCAGUUCAUGUCUUUUUGCUCGCUGUUUUUAUAAUUUAUAUUUUUCCCCGUUGAAACUCCUGCUAGAUGGAAACGGCCACCUAGUAAAAGUAAAGUAUUCCAUCAGUUGCACGCGACCACCGACGGCAUUGUUAGGGAAAAAUUACCCCUUUUUUUUGAACGGUCGGCAAAAGCUUUGUCGAAAGUAUAUUAGUAAGAGAAAAAUAAACAAAGUUACACACUUAUUUACAGCUGCUAUAUGCUAAUAGAAGGAAAAUAGAAAGUAAAAAAAAACACUACACAAAUACUUUUGUACAAUAGAGUAACCGGGAGAUACACUAUCUUCACUAAACAUAUUGAAAACUUGCAAAAGCUAUCGCCGAGCGUUCGCUAUCUCCGUGCGAUUUGCUUUUGACUGCUACUCCCUCCAUACUAAAUUGUAAGUCGUUUGACUUUUUUACUCCAAAUUUGACCACUCGUCUUAUUCAAAAAAUUUGUACAAAUAUAGUCAAAUUUAUUAAGUCAUUUUUGAAGAACUUUUAUUAAUAAAUCAAUACACAACAAAAAAAAGUAAUAUUUUGUACAAAACUUUGAAUAAGACGAGUGGUCAAACUUGAUAUUUAAAAAGUUAAACGAUUUAUAAUUUGGAAUGGAGUGAGUACUGCUCUGCAAGAGCAUCUUGCAUUGCUGAGCAAUGCUGUCGUGACGGUAGAGAGAAAAGUUCUUAUUUUUUUCCUGGCAAAAGGAGAGCUUCCAAUAGCUAGCACAGGAGUUAGGGCCUGUUUAGAUUGAGAACGAAAAUUUUUUGGGUGUCACAUCGGAUGUGUCGGAAGGAUGUCGGGAGGGGUUUUUAGAAACUAAUAAAAAAACAAAUUAUAUAGCUCGUCAGGAAACUGCAAGACAAAUUUAUUAAGCAUAAUUAAUCUGUCAUUAGCAUAUGUAGGUUACUGUAGCACUUAAGGCUAAUCAUGGAGUAACUAGGCUUAAAAGAUUCGUCUCGCGAUUCUUAACUAAACUGUGUAAUUAGUUUAUUUUUUUAUCUACAUUUAAUGUUCCAUGCAUGUGUCCAAAGAUUCGAUGGGAUGGAUGAAAAAAUUUUGGGUAGGAAACUAAACAGGGCCUUACUACUACAUACAGUCAUUAGCUACUCUCAUGGCUACUGGCCUACUGCAGGGUCUUCGUUACACACUCUUAGAGUCCACUCUUUAAACUUGCCAUAAUUUUCGGGCGGGCUGUGCUGCUCCCCCAUGCACCGUUAGCUAGGUAGACAAUGCUGCUGUCUCUUUGUUCAUCCUCUCUCGUCCCUCCUACUAAACCUAAAAUAAGAAUUAUUACUCUAUCUCCGCAACUAAACGAGACAAUUAAUUACAUAUUAGUUAUGGUAUUUUGCUGAUGUGGCACCAUAUUUAUUGAAGAAAGAGGUAGAAAAAAUAAGACUCCAAGUCUUAUUUAGACUCCAAGUCCACAUUAUUCGAGGUAAUAAAUAGCUUUAGACUUCAUGAUAGAGUCUACAUUGUGAGUGCCCUUAAACAUAGAGUCCACUCUUUAAACUUGCCAUAAUUUUCGGGCGGGCUGUGCUGCUCCCCCAUGCACCGUUAGCUAGGUAGACAAUGCUGCUGUCUCUUUGUUCAUCCUCUCUCGUCCCUCCUACUAAACCUAAAAUAAGAAUUAUUACUCUAUCUCCGCAACUAAACGAAGAGGUGAAAUCAUCCUAUAUCCUAGAAAAUAUAUAAGUCGUUGAAGUGCACAUGGAAAUGAUUCCAGACCGCAUCUGACAAAAUGACUGAAAAAACAAAGUUUAACAGCUUGAAAUCUGUCUGAUCAGCUCAUCAGAAUCUCGAACCAGUAAAGUCAGCAGGCCAGCAUUUUCCUUUUGUACCUCGCUCCGUAAAGACUACCGAGCAUCGUGCAUUGCCUGCCUGUAAAAAGAUGCACAUGGCAUUGUUCCGGAAUGGAAUAUACAGAUAGAUAUUGCAUCCAUAUAUAGCUAGUUGUAUUUAUUUUUGCAUUAGCCAAUUCACUGAAAUCUAAUAUAUUAAAGAGACAUCUCAUAUAUUCUUGGUAAACAUGAACAAAUUAAUAAAUUGUAGCCAAAGAAGCUAACCAUGGAGAAAAAGGAGACAAUACAUGCACGCGCAUUUUGAUUUUUCUUUGUUUCAUUACGAACAAGCCAGAACAAUGUGUUUAUUUCAUUUGAUCAGUACAUUUCAGUAAAUUAAAAAAAUCACAGGCAGGCCCGUUCUAUUGGAGUACGGGCCACAAGUGUAACUGUUUGGCAUCUCACCGACUUCUCUCCCCGUGAUGCGACUGAUAAGCCACAACAGAAAAUGUUGUUUGCUGAUUUAUUGUGAGAGAAAAAUAUUGUUGAAUGGCUGGCAGAUUAGGCUGAUAAGCUCAAGCGACAUGUGUUUCUCCGCGCCAUAUCUUCCCUAUACAAAUUAGAUAUCAAGGUUCGUGACUUUUUUUUGAGGAUCCAUAAAAUAGUAUUUCAUUAAAAUUGAAAAGGGGUUAGCCAUCGUGGUGUCAAGAAAUAUGACCGAUACAUCUCUCAGUUCCACAUAUAAGCUCUUUUUGAGGGUUGCAUUGGUAUAUAUAAACAAGUAAGAGAUUUGCACUAAUAUAUGCGGACAAUAUGAGAAAAAUUAAUUUUCAUUAUUAAUUGGAUGACAAAUUGUUGUUUUGAUUUACAAUUUUAUUAGUUAGGCCAUCAGCUGAUUCGUUUAUAAUUAAUAAUAACUCUCAUUUCUAAUUAAAACUAUGUCAACCUAAUGAAAAAAUAUUUAUUAUUAGGUAGCCGUAAUAUUGUACUCUAUUUAUUUUUAUAUUUAUAACUAAAAGCAGACUGAAUUACUUCAUCAGAAAAGAAAGGUAAAACAAAAAAGGAUCAUGGAAAGGGCAGCACGGGAUAGAAAAGUCACGGGACACCAUGUGUUGAGGUGUUAAGUUACACACGCGACAUAUAAACAUGACUAUUUUAUUGUGCCUUAUUUUAAUUUUCUUGUCUAAUAAAUUUUCUGCAAAUUUCUUGCUCAUCUUUCUAAAAUAAACAUAAAAAUAUUAAUUCCUAGAGUUUUAAUAUUAGACUGACAGAAAAAAGAAGCUAUUAUAAAUGGACCGUUGAGAAAGGUGCAUUUUUUUCCCUCACAAGGAAAAGUUAGAUGUAAAUUAUCAGCUCUUCGAUCUUAGCCUCUGCGACUAGCUAGGCAGCCUCAAGGUCACCCUCGUGGGCACCCCGCUGGCGAACCUGUUGCCCGAAAGCAAAGCAGGUGGCCCUGGUCGACGCUGACCACUGAGAUGCCGGUGGGCUAGCACAUUGGUGAUGAGCGAUUGACAACACGGUGUGCGUGUGACGUGUCUCUUGGCAGGCUGUAGUUGCAGGUGACAGGUGGAGACAAGGUACAUGCGGCGACGAGUGAAGAACGAGGAUAGGAUGUCGUGCCGAAGAACCGCUGGGGCGGAGAAGGAUGGAUCGAGGCUUGCGUUUGAGGGACAUGCGAUCGUGCGGUGUACGUCUACUGUACCUGGCUACACGGCGGGAGGACGUCGAGGGAGGUUUCCGGAUUACGCCACAAAAUCCGGGGUUCGCUGGUUGAGCCACAAAGCCAUGCAUCGUACCGGGACGCUCGUGCGGCGGGCGUUGGCCGAAGAUGGAAAUUCCGACGAUCGCGAUAUGAUUUCGGAUGGUCAUGCGGUGACAUCGCGAGGAUCACAUCGCGGACAUGGAGGGAUCGCGGACAUCGCGGAAUUUACCAUGGAAGAUUAGACGUAAUUAGAAUUUACGCUCCUACGUUAAAUUUAUUUAGCGUAGGGGGGUUAUGUGUAAAAGGUAGAGCCACCCUUGGGGUUAUAAAUAUAUGGCACCUAGGGUUGAGAGGGUUUGGGGCCUUUUUGCUACAGUACUGCGGUUACUAUUCACGGGCGUAAAUAGUAACGGCGCUGCUACAGUAACAUGGAACCACCUUUCUCCCCUUUUGUCUAGCCUAGUGUUUCAAAUCAUAGCGAGAGAUUUUUAGUUGAUCUCUCCAAUCAAGAGACGGAGGACGAUCGGGCGGAGGCUAGAUGCAAUUUUGUAGAACAAUCACUUGAUUUAAUCAUUUAUUUUUGAGUUGUUCGUUUGCAUCUCGUUGAUCCGAUCUGCAAGGUUGUCGCAGCCGCGUUGCUGGUUGAAUUCCACGCGGGGGACAGAACGGAAUAACCGGCCUACACAGCCCUUCAUCCGCUGCAGCAGCAGGGACUGCACUAGGAGUGCUACCGUUGGUCUCUACUGCAGUUCACCAGGCGUACCAGUCAGAACGCAGGGUCAAGGUGCUGAAAAGGAUCUGCUGCCGGCCAACUAUUGUGAUCCACGACACACCAAGAGCAAGUAAUCCAUUUUAAUUUUCAUCAGGUGUCACUUUCAGCAAAUAGUAUUCAAUCAUUAGCAUCGUGACUGCUUACUUGUUUAUUUAUUUCACUUAUUUGUCUCUGUCACUAGUUAUAUUUAAUGACUCUGGUUGGUUAAUUGGUCCUAUUUAUUAAUUAGUUUAUACGCAUGGUCAGCCGAGAUUAUUUGUGUUAAUUAUUUAAUUAAACACCAAUACAUAUCAUUUGUGUUCUACUUCCUUAUUUUAUAGUUAAUUAUUUCCGCUGCUUGUUUAGGGUGAUAUUUGGUUUUGCUUGCAUCGAGAAAUUUUAUUGGGCUCCCAUUCACCCCCUCCCCCUCUGGUCGCCGUUUCGGUCCUACAAUUGGUAUCAGAGCCGGUUUAGGUUUUCUAUACCUUAAUCGGUGCUAAAAACUAUGGCGACCAAUGAAAAGUUUGAUGUUCGUGCUCCGUUUUUUGAUGGGACUGAUUAUGAUUACUGGAAGGCACGUAUGACCAAUUAUCUCAAAGGCAAGUCGUUGAAGCUUUGGAAAAUCACACAAAAUGCCACAUAUGUGAUUCCGGCUGAGGAACCGACUGACGCCGCUGAGAUCGGGCUUCUUGAAACAAAUCAUCGUGUUGUUGCUAUUUUACAAGCAUCUAUUUGUAAAACUGAAUAUGAUCGGGUUUCUAGUGAAGAUCUCGCUUAUCAGAUCUAGGAAAAACUUAGAAAAUAUCAUGAAGGUUCAAACACUGUGAAAAAUCGAAAAUUUGAGAUUCACCGAAAAGAGUUUGAUGCUUUUUGCCAAUUGCCUAGUGAGUCUAUUGAUGACAUGUUUGCACGUUUUCAAGUGAUCGUUAAUAAGAUGAAAGCAAUGAAUAGUGAUAUGCCUUAUGAUGAUCAUGCUAGGGCCCUCAGAUUAUACAUUCACUUAACGAUGAAUGGGAUAUGAAAGUUGAGGCGACUGUUGAAUCUGCAGGUUAUGAGACUCUCACCACUGAUGAGCUUUACAGUAAACUCAAAUCAAAAGAGAUCGAAAUUGUUUCUAAACGCAAAUUGAAAAAUCCCACAGCUUCUUCUUCUUCUGAUGUUCCAAUGGCUUUGAUUUCUGGAAAUAAGACUAACUCUAACGCUAAUCCAAAUGUUUCUAGUUUUGCUUUGUCUUCCUUGUGCCAUGUUGCAGAUGAGGAGUUGGAAGUGCUAGAUGAUGAUCAGCUUGUAUUGCUCUCCAACAAGUUCAAGCGUGUGUAUGACAACAGGCGAAAUAGAAGACGUUCAGAUGGCUGCUACAACUGUGGUGAGCGAGGACACUUUGCUGCUGAUUGCCCUAACAAGAUGAAGUCCUCCGAGCAGGGAAACAGUUCCUCUAGGCGCCAGGAGCAGUUCAGAGAGAAGAAGAAGAAGAAGAAGAAGAAGAAGAAGGAAAAGCAAUGGAAGAAAGGCGGACAAAAAUACUCUGAUAAGCAAGUCGCCAAGGCUGCACAUGUUUUGUUAUCCUCUUUUGAAAAUUAUGUUUCAGAUGGCUCGUCAGACUCCAGUGAUUCAUACUCCGAGGAUGAGACACCCAAGAAGAAGACCGAUGGACUUUGCUUCAUCACUGACGCCGACAACAAUGGUGGGAUAUGUACUAUGGCCUUGGAGGACGAUGUAGAAGCUGACAACAACGACGAAACUUCUGAUGAUGAGGUAGAUACUACUACAGAACAAAGAAUUACUGAUUUAACUAAAAUUGUUCAUAAGCAAAAUAAAGUGUUGGCUAAACUUAAAGCUGAUUAUGAUAAAACUUGUGCUGAAUUAGCUACUCUAAAAAAUGCUACAUCUACUCCUGUUGAACCUGGUGAAUGUGAAGAAUGCUCAAUUCAUAUGAUUUCGCUUUCUGAAUUGCAAACCAAGUAUGCUUCCAUUGUUGAUGAUCAAGAUAAACUUAAUGUUGAAUUAAAUGAACUUCGUUCUCGGUCGAAUUUGCUUGGUGCUUGUGUUUCAUGCCCGCUUUUGAAAGUUGACUUGGAUAAUGCUUUAUGUCGGGUAAAAAAUCUUGAAAAACAUACUUGUCCAGUUCUUCCUCCAUGCUUAACUUGUCCUAAUUUUGUUGCUGAAAAUAAUGAUUUAAGGGCUAAACUUGACAAUUUGGAAGAAGAAAAUAAGCAUUUGAGAACUAUUCUUGGUUGGUGUUCUAUUCGUGAGCCCCAAAUUGGUAUGUCUAUUGCUCAAAUUAAACGGGGUGAGCGUUUUGGUCCCGGUUAUGAUUUGAAACAUGUUUUUGGUGAAAAAAGUGGACCACCUGUUGAUGACAAGAAUCCACCUUUGGCUAAAUAUACUGGACCACCUCCUAGGAAGGGUUCAAGUGUCACCUCUGAUGGGUUGCUGGUUGAGACAUCUAGAUCUGCUCCUAAAAGGCAGGUUUGGGUGCCUAAGCCAAAAUACUUCGAGUGUGUACAAAAUGCUAAGCCAAGUGGUUUCUCUUGUGAUAAUUCUGCUAAGCAUAUUUUUGUUGCUUCUGGUUCUAAUGCUAAAGCCUCCUUCGCGCCAGCACAUAAACUAUACCAUUGUGAUUUUUGUGAUCGUGACGGUCAUCUUUAUGAGUUUUGUUUUCGAAGGAUGCGUGCUGAACGACGUGAGCAGUACCCCGCACGUGGUACUCAUGAUCGUCGUGUUUUUAGACGUGAGCAGUACCCUGUACGUGGUACUCAUGAUCGUCCUAUUUUGAGACGUGAGCCAGCUGGUUGUUCUUCUGGUUUUCGCUCGCGUACUCAUGCUUCUGCACCACGCAGGAAUGACAGGCCAUGUUUUCCCCUUUCUGGUCCUCGUUGUUCUUUUGAGAGCUUUGAUUUUGCUAAUGCUUCUUUUGAGCAAAUGGCUCAGCAGUGGUUUUCAUUGCAUUAUCCUAAACCCAGUGUUGAGUCAUUAGCUCAUUCUCGCUCUCGGUGUUGACUGCAGGUCAGAGGCGAGGAGGACAUAUGGAUAAUGGACUCCGGUUGUUCGCGCCACAUGACCGGAGAUGACAAAUGGUUCUCCAGCCUCACCUCCACGAGCAUAAAGGAAAAUAUCACUUUCGGGGAUAGAAGUCAAGGCAAGGUAAUGGCGCAUGGCUGCAUCAAGGUAACAGAUAAAUACACGUUAAAGGACGUCGCAUUGGUAAAGAAUUUGCAUUAUAAUUUGCUUUCUGUUUCGCAACUUCUUGAGGAUGAUUUUGAGGUGCGUUUUAAGAAAGGAAAUUCGCGUGUUCUUGAUUCUACUGGUAACCUCGUUUGCAAGAUUUCUCCUUUUAGACGAAUCUUUAAAGCUGAUUUUUCCAGAUCUUUUGGUAAAACUCGCUGUUUAGUUGCUCAUGGUUCUCCCUUGAUUUGGAAGUGGCAUCGUCGGUUGGGCCACUUGAGCUUUGAUUUGCUCUGUCGCUUGAGUUCAUUGGAUUUAAUUGAUGGUUUACCGAAACUCAAGUUUGAAAAGGAUUUGAUUUGUGCUCCCUGCAAACAUGGAAAAAUGGUUGCUGCUUCUCAUGCACCUGUGACUCAGGUGAUGACGAGACGACCGGGCGAACUGUUACAUAUGGACACUGUUGGUCCAGCCCGUGUUCGGUCUGCUGGUGGGAAGUGGUAUGUGCUUGUUGUUGUGGACGAUUUUUCUCGAUUUUCAUGGGUGUUCUUCUUGGAAUCUAAGGAUGAAGCUUUUUCACGUGUUCAUGAUCUUGUUCUGAAACUGAAAAAUGAGUUGUCAAUUAAUGCCGUUAGAGCAAUUCGCAGUGACAAUGGUACUGAAUUCAAGAAUUCCCGUAUGAAAGCUUUUUGUUCAGAACAGGGUUUAGAUCAUCAGUUUUCCUCUCCUUAUGUUCCUCCCCAGAACGGUGUUGUUGAACGUAAAAACCGUACACUUGUUGAGAUGGCUAGGACAAUGCUUGAUGAACAUAAAACUCCUAGACGUUUCUGGGCUGAGGCUAUCAACACCGCCUGCUAUGUUGCUAAUCGCAUUUUUCUGAGAGCUUUUCUAGGAAAAACAUCUUAUGAGUUGAGAUUUGGUCGGCCUCCCAAAGUUUCCCACUUUCGAGUCUUUGGCUGCAAGUGUUUUAUAUUGAAAAAGGGAAAUUUGGAUAAAUUUGAAUCGCGCUCUUCUGAUGGGUUAUUUUUGGGGUAUGCCUUGCAAGGGCGAGCGUACCGUGUGCUUAAUCUUGCUACUAACCGCAUCGAGGAGACAUGUGAGGUCACCUUCGACGAGACAAUACCUUGUUUCUCUUCAGUUUUUGAGUGUGCAGGUGAUGAUGAGAUUGGGCAGAAUAUUUUUGAGGAAGAGAAAGAGGAAUAUGGAUGUGAUGACGACGAUGAUGAUGCCCAGCCUGUAGCGCAGGAGGAGCCUGACGCGCAGGCUGAGCAGGGAGCCCUCCACUUCUUUGGAAGAUGGACCAUCGCCGACACGUACAUCCACAGCAGAGCCCGCAGCUUCACCGACUGUUGAUCAUGUACCGGCUGCAGUUGAGGGGAGGUGAUUUCAGAACGUACAGCACCACGACACAUUCAGGAUCGUCAUCCUCCCAAGAACAUAAUAGGUAAUUUGGAUGAGCGCACAACAAGGAACAGAGGUAUGAAAAAUAAAAAUUACUGUGUCUUUGCGCAUACUGCUUUUGUUGCUUCUUUUGAACCCCGAGAUGUUGGACAUGCUUUAUCUGAUUCUAAUUGGGUCAAUGCCAUGCAUGAGGAGUUAGAAAAUUUUGAACGGAAUCAGGUUUGGGUUUUGGUUGAUCCUCCACCUUCUUGUAAACCAAUUGGAACUAAAUGGGUUUUUAAGAACAAACAAGGGGAAGAUGGUCAUGUUGUUAGGAAUAAAGCUAGGCUGGUUGCUCAGGGUUUUUGUCAAAAAGAGGGUAUUGAUUAUGGUGAAACUUUUGCUCCUGUUGCUCGCUUAGAAGCCAUUCGUAUUUUGCUUGCAUUUGCUGCUUCAUGUGGUUAUAAGCUUUAUCAAAUGGACGUGAAGAGUGCCUUUCUGAAUGGGUUUAUAGAAGAAGAAGUUUAUGUUAAACAACCGCCUGGUUUUGAGCAUCCCAUUUUUCCUGAUCGUGUUUUUAAGUUGCAAAAGGCUUUAUAUGGUUUGAAGCAAGCACCUCGUGCUUGGUAUGCUAGAUUGAAAAAUUUUCUGCUUAAAAACGGGUUCAAAAUGGGUUCUGUCGAUAAAACCCUUUUUCUCCUUAGGCAAGGCAAUGACACUUUAAUAGUUCAGAUUUACGUGGAUGAUAUCAUUUUCGGUGGUUCCUCUCAUGCUCUUGUGAAAAAGUUUGCAGAUGUGAUGAGCAAAGAAUUUGAAAUGUCUAUGAUGGGCGAGCUGAAUUUCUUUCUUGGCUUACAAAUAAAACAAACUUCGGAAGGUACAUUUGUGCAUCAAGGAAAGUACACGAAGGAUGUCUUGAAGAAGUUUGCGAUGGAUGAUGCGAAGCCAAUUUCUACGCCCAUGCCGACUAGCGCAGCUUUGGAUGCUGAUUAGGAUGGAGAGCCCAUGGAUCAAAAGGAAUAUCGAAGCAUGAUUGGGUCGCUGUUAUACUUGACUGCUACGAGGCCAGAUAUACACUUUGCUGUGUGUAUGUGUGCUCGUUUUCAGGCGUCCCCCAGGUUUUCUCACCGUCAGGCGGUGAAACGCAUAAUGAGGUAUCUUCGAUUUACUCCUGAAUUUGGUCUUUGGUACUCUACUGCUUCGACUCUUAGUUUGUGUGGUUAUUCGGACGCUGAUUUUGCUGGGUGUCGUUUGGAUAGAAAGUCUACAUCGGGUACUUGCCAAUUUUUGGGUUCUUCGCUUGUCUCUUGGUCCUCUAGAAAACAAUCUAAUGUUGCUCAAUCUACUACGGAGGCUGAAUAUGUUGCUGCUGCUAGUUGUUGUUCUCAGCUUUUAUGGAUGAUAGCUACCCUUCGUGAUUUUGGUUUGUCGUUUUCUCACGUUCCUCUCUUGUGUGACAGCACCAGUGCUAUAAGUGUUGCAAAGAAUCCUGUACUUCAUUCUAAGACGAAACACAUUGAGGUUCAUCAUCAUUUUCUUAGGGAUCAUGUUGAGAAGGGUGAUAUUGAGCUUAAAUACAUUGAUACUAGUCAGCAAAUUGCUGAUAUUCUAACUAAACCACUCGAUCAAACCACGUUUGCACGUUUGCGUGGUGAGUUUGGGGUGUGUUACCCAUUCUAGUAUCAUUAUAAAUUGCUUCCGUUACAUAUGUUUUAUACUUGUUUUGGCUAAUCUGCGACCGAUGCUUUUGAAGAGGUUUAAAUGCUUUGCUUGACCAAUUUAUGUUUUGAAAACAGUACAUACAUAUACUUAAAAAUUUAUGUUGGGCUAUGCCUGCUUCUCUGGAUUUAGUGACUUGUUGAUUACUUGACAUAUAUCUUGCUCAUGGUUUGGUUGUCAGCUUCUUUUAAUGGUUUUUCACUGCAAAUGUAACUCACAAUGCAAGUUUUAACUCGGGAAUGGAUAGUAUGGUUGUGAGCAAAAACUCUGAAUUCCCAUAUCUCUGCUAUUUCGCUCACGAUCUGCUUGCUUACUGAGAAUUUAAAUAUGGGCACAACUCUGAUUUCCCCAUGUCCCUGCUGGUUCUCGCUCAUAAUCAAAGUUAAACAAAACUGGCUGGGCACAACUCUUGCUUCUCAUAUCCCUGCUUGUCAUGCUCGCAAAAGCCAGAAUAAAAUAUGACAAGUGAAUGCAUUUGUGGGCGUUGCAGUGAACUUUGAUCGAAGCUGCGUAUCCGUCGUGUGAGCUUGCUGUAUGUUUUGUCUUCAGCCUGGCACUGAUUUUGGAAUAUGCAUGUUUUUGCUUGGCUAAUUGAUUUUUCAAGCAGAUUUAAGUUCUAAAAUUCUAAUGGUCAUAGCAUUGUGAUGCUCCCUCUCUGAGUCGCUAGUGUUGCUAGUUAGCUUUUAUAAGUAUUUGGCAUAUGUCUCGGAAGCUUCUACUUGCGCUCUCUCACAUGUUUUUCUCUAAAUUGGUUCUUUGCAUUUAUCUCGAUGGAGUGCUUUGUCAACAAGGGGGAGAGUGAGUAGCGCACAAAUUCAUUUUGCAGGGGGAGUUUGAUUUCGUUUUUUCGUUUUUGCUGAGACUUGACAUGCUUGUUUUGAGGGGGAGUUUUGCUGAAUUUUGAUUCACUUUGGAGAAAGUUUUUUUUUCUUGAUCGUGUCGAGCCUAGCUAUUUUUGCUAGCCCAUGUCUUUGGGGAUCAAGAUUUUUUUUCUCUUAUGUUCGAAUAAAUCUGUGCGGUGUGGUGUUGUCAAUGCACUCAUCAAGGGGGAGAUUGAGAUGCCGGUGGGCUAGCACCUUGGUGAUGAGCGAUUGACAACACGGUGUGCGUGUGACGUGUCUCUUGGCAGGCUGUGGUUGCAGGUGACAGGUGGAGACAAGGUACAUGCGGCAACGAGUGAAGAACGAGGAUAGGAUGUCGUGCCGAAGAACCGCUGGGGCGGAGAAGGAUGGAUCGAGGCUUGCGUUUGAGGGACAUGCGAUCGUGCGGUGUACGUCUACAGUACCUGGCUACACGGCGGGAGGACGUCGAGGGAGGUUUCCGGAUUACGCCACAAAAUCCGGGGUUCGCUGGUUGAGCCACAAAGCCAUGCAUCGUACCGGGGCGCUCGUGCGGCGGGCGUUGGCCGAAGAUGGAAAUUCCGGCGAUCGCGAUACGAUUUCGGAUGGUCAUGCGGUGACAUCGCGAGGAUCACAUCGCGGAGAUGGAGGGAUCGCGGACAUCGCGAAAUUUACCAUGGAAGAUUAGACGUAAUUAGAAUUUACGCUCCUACGUUAAAUUUAUUUAGCGUAGGGGGUUAUGUGUAAAAGGUAGAGCCAACCUUGGGGUUAUAAAUAUGUGGCACCUAGGGUUGAGAGGGUUUGGGGCCUUUUUGCUACAGUGCCGCGGUUACUAUUCACGGGCGUAAAUAGUAACGGUGCUGCUACAGUAACAGAGAACCACCUUUCUCCCCUUUUGUCUAGCCUAGGGUUUCAAAUCAUAGCGAGAGAUUUUUAGUUGAUCUCUCCAAUCAAGAGACGGAGGACGAUCGGGCGGAGGCUAGAUGCAAUUUUGUAGAACAAUCACUUGAUUUAAUCAUUUAUUUUUGAGUUGUUCGUUUGCAUCUCGUUGAUCCGAUCUGCAAGGUUGUCGCAGCCGCGUUGCUGGUUGAAUUCCACGCGGGGGACAGAACGGAAUAACCGGCCUACACAGCCCUUCAUCCGCUGCAGCAGCAGGGACUGCACUAGGAGUGCUACCGUUGGUCUCUAUUGCAGUUCACCAGGCGUACCAGUCAGAACGCAGGGUCAAGGUGCUGAAAAGGAUCUGUUGCCGGCCAACUAUUGUGAUCCACGACACACCAAGAGCAAGUAAUCCAUUUUAAUUUUCAUCAUGUGUCACUUUCAGCAAAUAGUGUUCAAUCAUUAGCAUCGUGACUGCUUACUUGUUUAUUUAUUUCACUUAUUUGUCUCUGUCACUAGUUAUAUUUAAUUAUUCUGGUUGGUUAAUUGGUCUAGCUUAUUAAUUAGUUUAUAUGCAUGGUCAGCCGAGAUUAUUUGUGUUAAUUAUUUAAUUAAACACCAAUACAUAUCAUUUGUGUUUUACUUCCUUAUUUUAUAGUUAAUUAUUUCCGCUGCUUGUUUAGGGUGAUAUUUGGUUUUGCUUGUAUCGAGAAAUUUUAUUGGGCUCCCAUUCACCCACCUCUGGUCGCCGUUUCAGUCCUACAGCCACCACCUUGCCUUUGUUGACGAGCGCCGCUGCCUUUUCGUGGCUCACCAUCACCAGCAGGCAGCAGCUUCGACGUCCGGCUGCCGAGGACCAUGAGUCCAUAAACAAUAGCCACGAUGACGUUGUGCCUCCGCUUCUCAUCACUGGCCGCGGUGCCCGAUAAGAGACUUGACCGUGCACUUGGUCGGGCACGUGGCAUGGCAUCGACCAGCCCCCGAACGGCACGUUCAUCUCAUCGUCAUCGACAUAUCAACGUAGAGCACGGCCAAUCUCAGUCCGGAGCAUGUGGCACUAAACUUGGCCAAACGGGCGGCACGAUCCUAGCACCAUACCGUGCCGUCUCGGGUCAUCGUACCAAACUUUCGGCCUAGACACGACACUAUGGCUUCUUAGCCGUACCGUGACGUGCCGAUAGGCACGGUGGCUCAUCGUGCCUGUGGCGACAUGUGGUUUUGGAAGGAGUUGAGAAGUUUGUCGGGCCCUGCUUCAAGGAGAAGACAGACGCCACCGUUGUUGUAUAGCCAUGCAGGAGAUUCAAUGGUCAUGAUCUAUCCUCAGAGCAUGAGACAGUGGAAAUAAUCGGGCCGGAGUCUUGCCAACCUAUUAGCCGUGUCAGCACUGCGGGCCGAAGUUGCAGCCCAGGCACUACACUACCACCGAACCGUGCCGUGCGCCCGUGCCUGGACCGUGUUUUUUAGUGUCAUGCUUGUACUGGCCCAUCGUGUUAGUGUCACAUGUGGCACUGGUAAAUAAGGAGGACUGUACAUAGUGUCCGUACACAGUGGUGGAACCAGGGGAGCUAGCAGAAGCAGUGGCCCCCCAAGCUCAGUCAAUUCUUUAAAUACCUAUGUAACUAUUAAUAUUUAUAGUAUAAGAAAUAUCAAUUUUAUCUAUUUUUUUAAGGGAACAUAUCUGGUGCAAACCACAACCUCCGUGAAAACCUGUGCAAACCAUGACAAAAAAGUCAUCUAAAUUCACCAAAAAAAUCACACAUGUAGAUGAUAUGAUGAUACACAACCCUGUAAAAUAUCUUAUCCAAACUCGAAUUCAUUUGUGAGAUAUAAAAAUAACAAAUUUCAAGCCAGAAAAGUGUCCACAGAAUUUGCUAGAAAUUUGUUAUUUUUAUAUCUCACAAAUGAAUUCGAGUUUGGAUAAGAUAUUUUACAGGGUUGUGUAUCAUCAUAUCAUCUACAUGUGUGAUUUUUUUGGUGAAUUUAGAUGACUUUUUUGUCAUGGUUUGCACAGGUUUUCACGGAGGUUGUGGUUUGCACUAGAUAUGUUCCCUUUUUUUAAAUAUGAUGAUUUUGGUAAGAAAUAAUGUAAUAUUUUUUAAAAAGUUCUUCAAACAUAUAAUUAUAUAUAUUUUAUUACAUUAAAAAAUAUAGUCAUAUUUGUUCGGUCUCUCUUAAUCAAACUCGCUGAUUCCGCCACUGCCCGUACACAUCUCUUAACAUCUGGAUUUCAUUUUCAAACAUUGAUGAAAACAAAAUUAUUUAUUGCAACAAUUCGUGUCUUCUCCUUAAGCUCCCCAAGAAACAAAAGAAUUAAUGAGAUCGAUCAAUAAUGUUACGGUACAGCUGCGCUGAACAACGUCAGUCCCUGGACUCCUGUUGUUGAUGAUUGCUACCAGUGCCAGUUGUUUAGUGGCCGCCCUUGGUCAUCCCGCACCCCGUGAUCUCUUUCGGCAGCUGAGCGACGCGCUCGACGCCUUCCUCGAAGACGAUGCCCAUUCCCAUGAAGAAAUGAGACUCGAUGUGGCAAUGGAACGCCCACACGCCGGGGUUGUCAGCCUUGAACCGCAGCGCCGUCCACCCAUACGGAUGCACCGCCACCGUGUUCUUCAGUAUCGGGUCCUUGAGGUUGUACGCCGCCGGGUGCACCGCCGGGUCGAAGCGGCCGAUGCCAUAGCCGAGCACCCAGAAGUCAUGCCCGUGCAGGUGCCACGGGUGCGUCUCGCUCUUGUUGGCCGCCAGCAUGUUGGCGUUCUGCAGCACGACGUCGACGACGGAUCCGAACUGCAGCCGGUACAGCCCGUCGCUGACCGUCGCGUUCGGGUUCCGCUGGACGGCGUAGAUGUCGUACCCCUGGUGCGCGUACGUCUCCGGCGGCGGCCGCUGGUCGAAGGCGCCGAGGAGGCCGUUCUUCAUGGCCACCAGGUAGGGCGUGUGCGGCAGCGUGAAGGAGACGUUGUUGAGCGCCCACUUGAUGUGCCCGUCGAUCUUGUUCUGCGUGUUGAGCAGGAGGAUGGUGCGGUCGGCGCGCGGCGGCGGGGGCUGGACGUGCGCCGGGUGCGCCACCGUCGCCACGCUCUGCCGGAACCGGUACGUGGUGUCGUUCCAGGCCGGACCCGUGGGAGGUGUGGUCGGCGGCGCCUUCCGCGGGCUGCUGCGGCCGCCGUAGUAGCUGAGGACGGCGGUGCCGGUGGGGGUGCCGGGCUCGCGGCUGACGACGUUGGAGGCGAGCCAGUAGUUGCGGUUGGGGUCCUGGUCGGCCUUGAUGAGCACGGAGUAGGUCUCGCCGGAGUAGAUGUUGAGGUUCUUCACCACGAACGGCUUCACGUAGUGCCCGUCGGCCUCCACCACCGUCAUUUCGUGGCCCUGAAAGCAUGGUGCAAUCCGUGGAUCAUUAUUCACAUUCUCAUGUUGUAAACUCUUUGGUAACGGUGAUCGUUACGCUUUCUAAUAAAGCUGGGUGAACGCCUUUGGUCUAAAAAACUCUUUGGUAACUAUUGUAUACGUAUAUAUGAUUUACAAACUCAAAAAUUGACAGAGAUGCAUUCCAUUAGUUAUUGGCAUCGCCUUGCAAAAUGACUCUACAAUCUAGUACAUGCGUCUGAAAGGUCGAUGUUCAAAGCCCGGGAAACUAAGCGAAACAUUGACUGAAUAAACAAGAAAUAUUUUGUCGUGCAGCUGAGCAGGUACCUAGCUCCAUUUCGUUUAGGCCUGUUUUAGUUCCGAAAAAAUUUCAGAUUUCGAUAUUGUAGCAUUUUCGUUUUUAUUUGACAAAAAUUAUUUAAUUAUAAAUUAACUAGACUCAAAAAAUUUAUCUCGUGAUUUACAGACAAACUGUAUAAUUAGUUUUUAUUUUUAUCUAUAUCUAAUGCUUCAUGUAUGUGCCUCAAGAUUUUAUGUGAUAGAAAAUCUUAAAAAGUUUUUCGUUUUUUUGGUGAACUAAACCUUACUCCUUCGUCGCGGUUCAUGAGUAUGUAGGAGUACAUACUUGCAGCUUGCAGAGCAUACAUGUGUUUGGUUGAUGGCCACUGGCCCCACCACACGUCACAGCUUGUGACCCGCUACGUACGAGAAUCUAUAGGCGAUUAUUUGGAACUUGUUUAGUUCCAAAAUAUUUUGUAAAAUGGACACUGUAGCUCUUUCGUUUGUAUUUGACAAAUAUUGUCCAAUCAUGGACUAACUAGGCUCAAAAGAUUUGUCUCGUCAAUUCCGACCAAACUGUGUAAUUAGUUUUUAUUUUUAUCUAUAUUUAGUACUUCAUGCAUGUGUCUAAAGAUUCGAUGUGACGGGAAAUCUGAAAAAUUUUACAAAAUUUUUUGGGAACUAAACAAGGCCUUGGUUGGUGAUUCAAACGAGACUGCCAGACUUUUUUUUUU